UGUUAAUGCUGUCUAUGAUUGGCUAGUUUAGUGAGGUCCUCAGAUCAGCCCCACAGGGGUCAGCCUUGGUCCUGGUGGAGUGCUGCGAAGACGGUCAAACUUAACUAUCUAGAGGAAGUAAAAGCCGUA
Molecule: non-coding RNA, 129 nt
Organism: Podarcis lilfordi (Lilford's wall lizard)
Lineage: Eukaryota; Metazoa; Chordata; Lepidosauria; Squamata; Lacertidae
Source: the annotation of a GenBank genome assembly